GGGCCCGUAGCUCAGCCUGGCGGAGCGCCCGGCUCAUAACCGGGUGGUCGUGGGUUCGAAUCCCACCGGGCCCA
Molecule: transfer RNA, 74 nt
Filed under: Candidatus Bathyarchaeota archaeon
Lineage: Archaea; Thermoproteati; Candidatus Bathyarchaeota
Also listed under: 7 other names
Description: tRNA-Met
Rfam family: tRNA
About the family: Transfer RNA (tRNA) molecules are approximately 80 nucleotides in length. Their secondary structure includes four short double-helical elements and three loops (D, anti-codon, and T loops). Further hydrogen bonds mediate the characteristic L-shaped molecular structure. tRNAs have two regions of fundamental functional importance: the anti-codon, which is responsible for specific mRNA codon recognition, and the 3' end, to which the tRNAs corresponding amino acid is attached (by aminoacyl-tRNA synthetases). tRNAs cope with the degeneracy of the genetic code in two manners: having more than one tRNA (with a specific anti-codon) for a particular amino acid; and 'wobble' base-pairing, i.e. permitting non-standard base-pairing at the 3rd anti-codon position.
Source: RNAcentral